GUGGGGCCGUGCUCCAGACACACAGACUUGAAGUUGGGUGGGGCCGUGCUCCAGAAUCCCCCACUUGCAUGACUAUAGGCCACCCCUUUGUUUGGCUGUGAAGCAAUAAUGAAGAAGAGGCUGUAGAGAGACACAAGCAUGGAAUCCACAACUCAGUGACUAGAGGCUGUUACUAGAAAUGAUUCGAGUACUCAGCCUUGUGGGUGGGCAGCAGGGCUCCAAAUUUCCCUUAAAAAAGACAAGUCCAAUAGGCCAACUAUAAAGUACGUGAGGCACGAUAGAAAAUUCUGGAAGUUCACCAGGUAGCAGGAAAAGAUAACCAGGCAGAGACACGGAGAAGUAAGCAGGUGUUUGGCAAACUGAGGAGCUGAGAAAACGUAUUGGAUCAUUCAAUGAAACAUAAUGAGGAGAAGCUUUUGUUAAUGAAAGAGCUUUCAUAAUUCUCCUUGUUAGCCCUCAAUAUGGUCUCGACAAUUCUGUUAAUUAAGACAAUUUUCAUCACUUGAGUCAUCGGCCACCUUUCAAAGGGGUCAACCAAGCUAAUAGGAAGAUCAACUAAUGGACAUCUUAAAAAACCCACACAGGGACUUUAGCAGAGAACAGGGCCUUGAGAUCACCUCGCUCCUUACUGUGCAGUGGUACAGGCCACACGGGUUGCAGAAGAGAUGGUCACAGCUGACAUGGCUUCCUGCUGGGCAGCAGCCCCCAUCCUGGAGAGUGGAUACCAUGGGGGCGGGAGCAUAGUCGUGACAACUGUGACACGGAAGAGGACUGUGGGCCAUGGCAGGUCCUGUGGUACCUUAGGACCACAAAAUCAAACUACUGAACUGGAAAAAUCUCUCAGUGUGGCUAUCAGUUGACCUGACAGGUGAGUUCUCAGUCUGGAUGUGAAACAUCAAGAAGAAAGGCCUAAACUGCACACCAUCUGAGCCUGACCCCUAACCUGGGAACUCAGUUUGUAGAACACCCUCAGGAGAGCUUGCUGAGCCUUCACUUUCCUUGCAUAUAUGGGAGGGAGCAUAAGAGGCUUUGUUGGAAUUAUCCUGUGGAUUAUAUAAAAAUGUGUGUGAAGAUAAACAAUAAAUGGAGGCUGAAUUAGCAAUUGUGAUGAAGGUUGAAGUGCUAUCUGUUAUUGCCACAAAAUGUAGGCAUCCCUUGGUAUUUGCAAUGAAUUACUGCCAGUACCCAGGUGGGCUCAAGUCUUUUAUGGUGAAAUGGUGUAUGUAUGUAACCUACACACAUCCUCCCACAGACUAAAUCAUCCCUAGAUUACUUAUAAUUCUUAACGUUAUGUGAACA
Molecule: long non-coding RNA, 1299 nt
Filed under: Fukomys damarensis (Damara mole-rat)
Lineage: Eukaryota; Metazoa; Chordata; Mammalia; Rodentia; Bathyergidae
Description: lncRNA (ENSFDAG00000025431.1)
Source: RNAcentral